GCGCUACACUGAUGCAUUCAACAAGCCUAUCCUUGACCGAAGGGUCUGGGUAAUCUUUGAAACUGCAUCGUGAUGGGGAUAGAUUAUUGCAAUUAUUAGUCUUCAACGAGGAAUGCCUAGUAAGCGCAAGUCAUCAGCUUGCGUUGAUUACGUCCCUGCCCUUUGUACACACCGCCCGUCGCUCCUACCGAUUGGGUGUGCUGGUGAAGUGUUCGGAUUGGCAGCUUAGGGUGGCAACACCUCAGGUCUGCCGAGAAGUUCAUUAAACCCUCCCACCUAGAGGAAGGAGAAGUCGUAACAAGGUUUCCGUAGGUGAACCUGCGGAAGGAUCAUUGAAUUAUUAAAACCACAAUGCGAACCUAUCUGUUCCGUGCCUUAGCUGCCAGCAAGGCAAUUGGCUUGCCCAAUUGUACUUGCAAGCUGGUGCGAGUAAUUUGAUUACUUGCAUCAGUGGCGCUUUGGCAUGCUUAUACACCAGUGCUAACCACUGUCAAAACCAAACUCUGAAGCUUUGAUUGCUAUUAACUGGCAAUCUUAACCAAAGACAACUCUCAACAACGGAUAUCUUGGCUCUCGCAACGAUGAAGAACGCAGCGAAAUGCGAUACGUAGUGUGAAUUGCAGAAUUCCGUGAACCAUCGAAUCUUUGAACGCAUAUUGCGCUCGAGCCCUCGGGCAAGAGCAUGUCUGCCUCAGCGUCGGUUUAUACCCUCACCCCUCUCUCCUUUUGGAGGGCUGGUCAGCUUCUAGUUGGCCUCAGGGAUGGAUCUGGCUUUCCCAAUUGGUUCACUCCGAUUGGGUUGGCUGAAGCUUAGAGGCUUAAGCAAGGACCCGAUAUGGGCUUCAACUGGAUAGGUAGCACCGGCUUCUGCCGACUACACGAAGUUGUGGCUUGUGGACUUUGCUAGAGGCCAAGCAGGAAACAUGCUUUGCAUGUCUUAAACUUUCGACCUGAGCUCAGGCAAGGCUACCCGCUGAACUUAAGCAUAUCAAUAAGCGGAGGAAAAGAAACUAACUAGGAUGCGCUUAGUAACGGCGAGCGAACCGCGCAAAGCCCAACUUGAAAAUCUCCCUUGGAGAAUUGUAGUCUAUAGAAGUACCCUCUGUAACGGGCGCAGCUCAAGUCUCCUGGAAAGGGGCGUCAGAGAGGGUGAGAACCCCGUAAGCUGUUGCUUUGUUGCCUCACGAGGUGCUUUCAAAGAGUCGGGUUGCUUGGGAAUGCAGCCCAAAUUUGGUGGUAAAUCCGCGCUACACUGAUGCAUUCAACAAGCCUAUCCUUGACCGAAGGGUCUGGGUAAUCUUUGAAACUGCAUCGUGAUGGGGAUAGAUUAUUGCAAUUAUUAGUCUUCAACGAGGAAUGCCUAGUAAGCGCAAGUCAUCAGCUUGCGUUGAUUACGUCCCUGCCCUUUGUACACACCGCCCGUCGCUCCUACCGAUUGGGUGUGCUGGUGAAGUGUUCGGAUUGGCAGCUUAGGGUGGCAACACCUCAGGUCUGCCGAGAAGUUCAUUAAACCCUCCCACCUAGAGGAAGGAGAAGUCGUAACAAGGUUUCCGUAGGUGAACCUGCGGAAGGAUCAUUGAAUUAUUAAAACCACAAUGCGAACCUAUCUGUUCCGUGCCUUAGCUGCCAGCAAGGCAAUUGGCUUGCCCAAUUGUACUUGCAAGCUGGUGCGAGUAAUUUGAUUACUUGCAUCAGUGGCGCUUUGGCAUGCUUAUACACCAGUGCUAACCACUGUCAAAACCAAACUCUGAAGCUUUGAUUGCUAUUAACUGGCAAUCUUAACCAAAGACAACUCUCAACAACGGAUAUCUUGGCUCUCGCAACGAUGAAGAACGCAGCGAAAUGCGAUACGUAGUGUGAAUUGCAGAAUUCCGUGAACCAUCGAAUCUUUGAACGCAUAUUGCGCUCGAGCCCUCGGGCAAGAGCAUGUCUGCCUCAGCGUCGGUUUAUACCCUCACCCCUCUCUCCUUUUGGAGGGCUGGUCAGCUUCUAGUUGGCCUCAGGGAUGGAUCUGGCUUUCCCAAUUGGUUCACUCCGAUUGGGUUGGCUGAAGCUUAGAGGCUUAAGCAAGGACCCGAUAUGGGCUUCAACUGGAUAGGUAGCACCGGCUUCUGCCGACUACACGAAGUUGUGGCUUGUGGACUUUGCUAGAGGCCAAGCAGGAAACAUGCUUUGCAUGUCUUAAACUUUCGACCUGAGCUCAGGCAAGGCUACCCGCUGAACUUAAGCAUAUCAAUAAGCGGAGGAAAAGAAACUAACUAGGAUGCGCUUAGUAACGGCGAGCGAACCGCGCAAAGCCCAACUUGAAAAUCUCCCUUGGAGAAUUGUAGUCUAUAGAAGUACCCUCUGUAACGGGCGCAGCUCAAGUCUCCUGGAAAGGGGCGUCAGAGAGGGUGAGAACCCCGUAAGCUGUUGCUUUGUUGCCUCACGAGGUGCUUUCAAAGAGUCGGGUUGCUUGGGAAUGCAGCCCAAAUUUGGUGGUAAAUCC
This 2488-nucleotide ribosomal RNA is filed under the name Tetradesmus obliquus. Its description in RNAcentral is "eukaryotic LSU rRNA". The stretch from base 1 to 335 matches the Rfam family "Eukaryotic small subunit ribosomal RNA", at positions 1495 to 1831 of the family's 1831-position model. The record is from RNAcentral. Lineage: Eukaryota; Viridiplantae; Chlorophyta; Chlorophyceae; Sphaeropleales; Scenedesmaceae.